GGCGGCAUGGCCGAGCGGUAAGGCGGGGGACUGCAAAUCCCUUUUUCCCCAGUUCAAAUCCGGGUGCCGCCUCAUCAACAAACAAA
Molecule: transfer RNA, 86 nt
Filed under: Trichosanthes tricuspidata
Lineage: Eukaryota; Viridiplantae; Streptophyta; Magnoliopsida; Cucurbitales; Cucurbitaceae
Description: tRNA-Cys
Rfam family: tRNA (bases 1-72)
About the family: Transfer RNA (tRNA) molecules are approximately 80 nucleotides in length. Their secondary structure includes four short double-helical elements and three loops (D, anti-codon, and T loops).
Source: RNAcentral